GUGCUCGCUUCGGAAGUAUAUACACUAAAAUUGGAACGAUACAGAGAAGAUUAG
RNAcentral lists this small RNA (54 nucleotides) under Podarcis lilfordi (Lilford's wall lizard). The record is from RNAcentral. Lineage: Eukaryota; Metazoa; Chordata; Lepidosauria; Squamata; Lacertidae.